RNAcentral lists this ribosomal RNA (328 nucleotides) under uncultured eukaryote. RNAcentral describes it as "partial 18S ribosomal RNA". It matches the Rfam family "Eukaryotic small subunit ribosomal RNA", at positions 1470 to 1796 of the family's 1831-position model. The record is from RNAcentral.
CCCUUAGAUGUCCUGGGCCGCACGCGCGCUACACUGAUGCAUGCAACGAGUUUAUAACCUUGGCCUGAAAGGUCUGGGUAAUCUUUUGAACGUGCAUCGUGAUAGGGAUAGAUUAUUGCAAUUGUUAAUCUUGAACGAGGAAUUCCUAGUAAACGCGAGUCAUCAGCUCGCAUUGAUUACGUCCCUGCCCUUUGUACACACCGCCCGUCGCACCUACCGAUUGAAUGGUUCGGUGAAGAUCUCGGACUUCGAUAUUUAUUCUUUAUUGAGUUUAUAUUGUGGGAAGUUAUCUAAACCUCAUCAUUUAGAGGAAGGUGAAGUCGUAGCA